RNAcentral lists this non-coding RNA (42 nucleotides) under Trypanosoma brucei brucei. Lineage: Eukaryota; Euglenozoa; Kinetoplastea; Trypanosomatida; Trypanosomatidae. The record is from RNAcentral.
ACAUCAAAAUAGAUAAAUUGCAGUGAAGAGAGUUAAGUUAAU